This 894-nucleotide ribosomal RNA is filed under the name Colletotrichum boninense. RNAcentral's name for it is "LSU rRNA". It matches the Rfam family "Eukaryotic large subunit ribosomal RNA", at positions 37 to 961 of the family's 3401-position model. Lineage: Eukaryota; Fungi; Ascomycota; Sordariomycetes; Glomerellales; Glomerellaceae. The record is from RNAcentral.
AGCAUAUCAAUAAGCGGAGGAAAAGAAACCAACAGGGAUUGCCCCAGUAACGGCGAGUGAAGCGGCAACAGCUCAAAUUUGAAAUCUGGCCCCAGGCCCGAGUUGUAAUUUGCAGAGGAUGCUUUUGGCGCGGUGCCUUCCGAGUUCCCUGGAACGGGACGCCAUAGAGGGUGAGAGCCCCGUACGGUUGGACACCAAGUCUUUGUAAAGCUCCUUCGACGAGUCGAGUAGUUUGGGAAUGCUGCUCAAAAUGGGAGGUAUAUUUCUUCUAAAGCUAAAUAUUGGCCAGAGACCGAUAGCGCACAAGUAGAGUGAUCGAAAGAUGAAAAGCACUUUGAAAAGAGGGUUAAACAGCACGUGAAAUUGUUAAAAGGGAAGCGCUUAUGACCAGACUUGCGCCCGGUGAAUCACCCAGCUCUCGCGGCUGGGGCACUUUGCCGGCUCAGGCCAGCAUCAGCUCGCUGUCGGGGACAAAAGCUUCGGGAACGUAGCUCUCUUCGGGGAGUGUUAUAGCCCGUUGCACAAUACCCUUCGGCGGGCUGAGGUACGCGCUCCGCAAGGAUGCUGGCGUAAUGGUCAUCAGCGACCCGUCUUGAAACACGGACCAAGGAGUCAACCUUAUGUGCGAGUGUUUGGGUGUCAAACCCCUACGCGUAAUGAAAGUGAACGCAGGUGAGAGCUUCGGCGCAUCAUCGACCGAUCCUGAUGUUCUCGGAUGGAUUUGAGUAAGAGCAUAUAGGGUUGGACCCGAAAGAAGGUGAACUAUGCGUGUAUAGGGUGAAGCCAGAGGAAACUCUGGUGGAGGCUCGCAGCGGUUCUGACGUGCAAAUCGAUCGUCAAAUAUGCGCAUGGGGGGCGAAAGACUAAUCGAACCUUCUAGUAGCUGGUUUCCCC